This 252-nucleotide ribosomal RNA is filed under the name uncultured bacterium. RNAcentral describes it as "partial 16S ribosomal RNA". It matches the Rfam family "Bacterial small subunit ribosomal RNA", at positions 524 to 775 of the family's 1533-position model. The record is from RNAcentral.
UACGGAAGGGGCUAGCGUUGUUCGGAAUCACUGGGCGUAAAGCGCGCGUAGGCGGCCGGUCAAGUGCGGCGUGAAAGUCCUGGGCUCAACCUGGGGACGGCGCUGCGGACUGUUCGGCUGGAGUCCGGAAGAGGGUGGUGGAAUUCCGAGUGUAGAGGUGAAAUUCGUAGAUAUUCGGAGGAACACCGGUGGCGAAGGCGGCCACCUGGUCCGGUACUGACGCUCAAGUGCGAAAGCGUGGGGAGCAAACAG